This 443-nucleotide ribosomal RNA is filed under the name uncultured bacterium. RNAcentral describes it as "partial 16S ribosomal RNA". It matches the Rfam family "Bacterial small subunit ribosomal RNA", at positions 338 to 795 of the family's 1533-position model. The record is from RNAcentral.
CCUACGGGUGGCAGCAGUGGGGAAUAUUGGGCAAUGGAGGCAACUCUGACCCAGCAACGCCGCGUGAGCGAUGACGGUCUUCGGAUUGUAAAGCUCUUUAAGCGGGGACGAAGAAAGUGACUGUACCCGCAGAAUAAGCCUCGGCUAACUACGUGCCAGCAGCCGCGGUAAUACGUAGGACGCAAGCGUUAUCCGGAAUGACUGGGCGUAAAGGGUUCGUAGGUGGUUUGGCAAGUUGGUAGCGUAAUCCCGGGGCUCAACCUCGGUGCUACUGCCAAAACUGUUGAACUUGAGUGUAGGAAGGGUAAAUGGAAUUCCCGGUGUAGCGGUGGAAUGCGUAGAUAUCGGGAAGAACACCAGCGGCGAAGGCGAUUUACUGGACUGUAACUGACGCUGAGGCACGAAAGCGUGGGGAGCAAACAGGAUUAGAUACCCGGGUAGUC